Molecule: long non-coding RNA, 2828 nt
Filed under: Takifugu rubripes (torafugu)
Lineage: Eukaryota; Metazoa; Chordata; Actinopteri; Tetraodontiformes; Tetraodontidae
Description: lncRNA (ENSTRUG00000029172.1)
Source: RNAcentral
AUGAUUAAUGAGCCAAGUUCACCUUUACCUAGGAUGCACCUGCAGGAGCGUCACCACUGUGGAGCUGUGGGGACGCUGCAGCGGUGUGGCUGCUCAGAAAUGAUAGUGGAAAUGGAGGACUUCUGCUUCAAUGAACACAUUUUUUUCCUGUGUGUAUUUGAACUUCCAUGUUUUGGAUCAUAUUACUCCAGCAGAGCUCAUCAGGGUUGUCAAGAUAUUGGCACAUCUGUACUUGAUGACCACUCCCCUGCUGUGAUUGGCAACCAAAAUGAAUUCCUUCAUUGACAGAUGUGUAUCACUGUGCGCCAAUAAAAGAACAGUGCCAAUAGAGGGAUUGACAGUGUGAUAGAGGUGGAAACGGAGGGGGGAGAGGAGAAAUGAUGUCACAUAGUUUGUGGUGUGGCGAGUGUGAAACGGCGUGCUGUGAUGUUCCGAAUGUGAGAAGUUAGAGUUCAGGAGGCAGACAUCUGUGGUGGAACUCACCUCGAGGUGUGUCCUCCAGUGUUUUCGAGGUCCGUUUCUCUGCUAGAGUUCAGUCCCACUCGGCCAGAUAUUUUGACACAAAGACACGUGAACUGAGGAGAACAGCCAGGAUGCCUCAGUGCAUCUGAGGCCCAAAGGAGGAGAGCAGACUGGGAGAAGGGCUGCGGUCUAGAGAUACUGGUCCAUCCAUCACACAUGUCCUGACCUUAGUGUGACCCCAAUAUGGCAGCCAAUGAGGCGCCUUCACCCCCUAAAGAAAGGCCCCCCCAACACACACUCACACAGGAUCAGAUGACACUAAGAGGAGUCUGGAUGCUCUCUGUGUUGCCUAUUGUUGUUUCCCCGAUCUUUUGUUUUUUACAUGACUAAUGUGAGUACGAACACCUGACAGACAAGCUGUUCAUUCCCUCCCUCUUUCUCUCUGUCUGCCACUCACACGUACACGCGCUUGUAUGAUCGUCUUAUCUUAAAAGCGGUAUAAUUUUUGAUUAUACGUUAUAUAUAGUAGAACACUAUACUAUAGUAUACUUUUAAUAUUACAACAAGAAGCUAGAGUGCAAAUAGAAACUCAUUCAUGUACAUUUAGGAGGUCCAAAUCUUUUCACAUUCAUAUCAACCACAACCCUGAAAAACUUAUAGGGUGUUACUAAAUGUCUGAAACAACAUGAUCAUGUUGAUUGGUGGACAUGUGGGUCUGUGCAUACUGUCCCAAGUUCAUUUUUACAGAUAAGUGAGCUGAGCCUGUCCAUCAGUUCCAGGUAAAGAGUGUCCUGGAGAUAACCUUGGACUGCCUGGAAUUACUGCACCUCAAGCCACUGUAAAGAUCUGGGAAGAAUCAUCUCAAGGGUUUGAUUGUUUCUAUUGACGUGGUGCAAUAAACAAAUGUCACUCCUGAGUCACUCCAUUUGGCUUCCGAAAAACUCUCUGCUGGCAGUAGCUCUGAGCUUGGCUGGUACCAGGGUUAAAGGGUUGGAAUGAUAUUGGUGAUAUACAGUCAAAUUAGCAUUAAUGUCCCACCCUUCGAUUGAAGUGCAAUGUUUGAUGAUGUUAAUGCUCACUGAAAAUAUGUUUAUAUUAUGUUAUAUAGAAUUGUCUAACCCUUUCCAAAGUUUUAAAAAUAGUUUACCCUGUAAUGUUGUGUCAUACACCCAACUGCAGUUUUCGAUAUUUCUUUGAAGAACUCAGCAAUUGUCCUACACAAAAAAGAUAAAAGAAUUAAUAUAAAUGACAGUCUCAUGUGUCACAAAGAUUAGCACAAAAACCCCAACUACUUGUCAAUAGGGUAAGGUAGCGUUUUUGAUAUAAAGUGCUUGGGCUUUUUGUCAGGUGAAGCAGACCAUAGAGAUAUGCAAAUAUGCACAGGCAAACAACUCCAGGGCAGAAAGGGCAAGAUUUCAGCAUUUCACAUUAAACAUGUCAGUGUGUCAGACAGAGAGAGACUCUGCUCAGGGCAAUGCAUAGAGGUCAGUGAACUGAGUUGACAUCAUUUUACCUGCAAACCACCUGUCAAUCUUCCCAAAGGAAGAGUGAUGGUAGUCACGAGCGUUUUGACAGAUGACCAACAGAAACACAGUGCGGGCAGGACAAAGAGCAAAUUGCACUUUCAAUGACCCAAAUAUGGAUCCAUCAACUCAGCUUGAUAUCUGAUGAAAAAACGUAAAAAAAAAAAAAAAAUCCAGAAUUUCCAGAAAUUAUGUUUCAACAAUUAAAUGCCUCUGAGCCAUAAGAGUACCACUCACAUGGUUACAGAUCAUAACCACUUAAAUGAUUAAGUGCCAUUACACACAGUGUAAUGUGGUCAGAAACAUCCAGGAGAAAGCAGCUGCCUGUUAUUGUUGAAACCGGCAGAGCUGUUUCAGUGACAUGUAAGACUCAGAGUAAUUCUAAGCCUGUGGUUUGUUCACAGCCUGGGGACAGGGUGAAACUAUGCACUGAUGGGCUCUGUCUCCCAAGGCAAGAACAGUACAUAGAUUUGAAUCUGUACCACGUCAAAAUUGAAAACAGAAUGCCUUGAUUUAUGGCUUUGGUUCUUCAACAGUCCACUGUGGUAUUCUGGGUUAGAUAAUGUGUUCCUUAAUGAAUUUUAAAUGAGAAACUUGGCAGAAUUACAGGCAAAUUAGUUCACCUUACUGUUUACCACGAAGCAUUAGUGUUGACAGAUAAAAAUAAAUAUGAUCAGUCUUUGUGAAAGGCUGAGCCAGAUGAUUUUGAAAAAAAACAAAACCUUUUUGCAUGGCAGCACAUGUGAUUCCUUAUCUCUUAUAGCAUUUUCAAGUACCCAUUAUUUCUCAUUAAACUGAAGGCGUUUUCUUUUUUAAAUCUUCAUUCCACAUAUGCAACCAUUA